Molecule: long non-coding RNA, 887 nt
Organism: Acanthochromis polyacanthus (spiny chromis)
Lineage: Eukaryota; Metazoa; Chordata; Actinopteri; Pomacentridae
Exons: 3
Source: RefSeq, a predicted model, not a curated record
GUCUAUCUGUAUAAACAUGGUUCUAAAAUGAGCUGAGAACAGCAGAAGUUUAUCAGUUCUGGACCUAUGGAGUGAGUCUAUCUAUGUCUGCAUCAUGGCUCCACAUGGAAAAGAACUGAACAGAGGAAGAGAAGAAUCUGACAGAAAGACUCGACAAAGGUGGAAAAAAAAUCCAAGAAUAUCAACGAAAAACCAAAAAGCACAGUCAGCAGUAAUCAGGAGGUCUAGAAGGAGUCAUAGUUCCACUAAUCAGGAGGUCUAGAAGGAGUCAUAGUACCACUAAUCAGGAGGUCUAGAAGGAGUCAUAGUACCACUAAUCAGGAGGUCUAGAAGGAGUCAUAGUACCACUAAUCAGGAGGUCUAGAAGGAGUCAUAGUUCCACUAAUCAGGAGGUCUAGAAGGAGUCAUAGUACCACUAAUCAGGAGGUCUAGAAGGAGUCAUAGUACCACUAAUCAGGAGGUCUAGAAGGAGUCAUAGUUCCACUAAUCAGGAGGUCUAGAAGGAGUCAUAGUUCCACUAAUCAGGAGGUCUAGAAGGAGUCAUAGUUCCACUAAUCAGGAGGUCUAGAAGGAGUCAUAGUUCCACUAAUCAGAGCUCCUAAAAUGACUCCACAGACGGUGAACUACUUCCUCCAUCCAGCUGUAAAAACAGACAUCAGCUGCUUCAGACUUGGCUCAGGGGUUCUCCAUGGAAACCAGAGUUAGUGUGAAGCUCAGACAGUGUGAAGGAACUUUCAGAACAUCAACCUCUAUGGACGGAGGAUCAGAACUAAAGCUGGCUGCUGCUCAGAGCUAAACUUCCAGAUGAAAGUUUGCUGAGGAACAUGAGAAGAAGCCCAAUGGAUGUUGGAGAACAUUCUUUGGUCAGAUGGAGAUAAAUGAGUUCA